Molecule: transfer RNA, 71 nt
Filed under: Loxodonta africana (African savanna elephant)
Lineage: Eukaryota; Metazoa; Chordata; Mammalia; Proboscidea; Elephantidae
Rfam family: tRNA
About the family: Transfer RNA (tRNA) molecules are approximately 80 nucleotides in length. Their secondary structure includes four short double-helical elements and three loops (D, anti-codon, and T loops).
Source: Rfam by way of RNAcentral
GCAGUGGUGGUUCAUUGGUAACGUCCUUGCCUUCCAUGCAGGAGACCCGGGUUUGAUUCCUGGCCAAUGCA